UGGAUGGUAGCAUUGUGUAGGAUUAAUUUGAAGAGGAGGCAAAAGGUGUGAUUCAUUCACACUCUAUUUGGAACAAAAGGAGAUUGUGUCCAGGAUUGGGGUUCAAGGAAUGGAGAAGUUACAGCGAAUAUGAGACAGCACUGGAAAAACAGCACAACAUUCAGCAACUCUGCUUUAAGAAAACCCAGCUGAAACUCUCAAUGAGUCUUUGGUUGACCAGGAUUGCAUGUCUAUAUCUGUUUUCACGAGAAGCCACUUUGAAGAUAUCAAUAUGGAAUACAACAACCAUUGUUAAUUCCCUACCACUUUGUUUGUAACUCUGUAUUGUCUGUAUUGUGCUUGUGAUAUGUUGUAAAAUGUUGUAUGUCUGUUAAUGUUUCCCUCCUUUUAUCUUUAAAAAAAAAAAAAAGAAAGAAAACCCAGCUGUGCAAGCAUGACAAUAGAUGGCACCUAGGUAGUGUAACUGAAGACAGACUUGCUAGGCCCAACACCUGCUCCUGCUGAGGGCUGGCCUGAGGGUAUGCGUCCUACGUUGUGUCAGAACUUCCAGGGCUCUGGAUGUCAACUGAGACCUCCCAAGUUCCAAAAUGUUGAUUCAAAUCUUUUAAAACACAGAACAGGUCAGACUAAAUAGAGCUGCACACUGAAAGCAGUCUGUGGGUCCUGUGUUGACAGCCUCUGCUCUCAGUC
Molecule: long non-coding RNA, 690 nt
Filed under: Chinchilla lanigera (long-tailed chinchilla)
Lineage: Eukaryota; Metazoa; Chordata; Mammalia; Rodentia; Chinchillidae
Description: lncRNA (ENSCLAG00000028669.1)
Source: RNAcentral